Molecule: ribosomal RNA, 253 nt
Filed under: uncultured bacterium
Lineage: Bacteria
Description: partial 16S ribosomal RNA
Rfam family: Bacterial small subunit ribosomal RNA
Source: RNAcentral
UACGUAGGGUGCAAGCGUUAAUCGGAAUUACUGGGCGUAAAGGGCUCGUAGGCGGCCAACUAAGUCAGACGUGAAAUCCCUCGGCUUAACCGGGGAACUGCAUCUGAUACUGGAUGGCUUGAGUUCGGGAGAGGGAUGUGGAAUUCCAGGUGUAGCGGUGAAAUGCGUAGAUAUCUGGAGGAACACCAAUAGCGAAGGCAGCUCGCUGGGACGGUACUGACGCUAAGGCGCGAAAGCGUGGGGAGCGAACAGG